CCUACGGGAGGCAGCAGUAGGGAAUCUUCCACAAUGGGCGAAAGCCUGAUGGAGCAACGCCGCGUGGGUGAAGAAGGUCUUCGGAUCGUAAAACCCUGUUGUUAGAGAAGAAAGUGCGUGAGAGUAACUGUUCACGUUUCGACGGUAUCUAACCAGAAAGCCACGGCUAACUACGUGCCAGCAGUCGCGGUAAUACGUAGGUGGCAAGCGUUAUCCGGAUUUAUUGGGCGUAAAGGGAACGCAGGCGGUCUUUUAAGUCUGAUGUUAAAGCCUUCGGCUUAACCGGAGUAGUGCAUUGGAAACUGGGAGACUUGAGGGCAGAAGAGGAGAGUGGAACUCCAGGUGUAGCGGUGAAAGGCGUAGAGAUAUGGAAGAACACCAGUGGCGAAAGCGGCUCUCUGGUCUGUAACUGACGCGGAGGUUCGAAAGCGUGGGUAGCAAACAGGAUUAGAUACCCCGGUAGUC
Molecule: ribosomal RNA, 465 nt
Filed under: uncultured bacterium
Lineage: Bacteria
Description: partial 16S ribosomal RNA
Rfam family: Bacterial small subunit ribosomal RNA
Source: RNAcentral